Molecule: long non-coding RNA, 512 nt
Organism: Harmonia axyridis
Lineage: Eukaryota; Metazoa; Arthropoda; Insecta; Coleoptera; Coccinellidae
Exons: 3
Source: RefSeq, a predicted model, not a curated record
UUAUAAAUAGUCUUUCUCAGUAGUAGUUUUUUUACAUUUUUACUGAAUUUCAGGUCAUUCAAACUCUUCAGAUUUUCAGGCAAUUUAUUAUAUAAUUUCAGUGCGAUGUGAUUUGCUCCCUGCUGCGCUUUCGCUAUUCUGUUGAAAGGAAUGCUAAGUAAAUGCUUUCUUCUGGUGUUGUACUCGUGGAAGUCGGCGUUGGUUCGAAACUUCUCGAGAUUUCGGUGGACAUAAGUCACGGCAGCGAGGAUGAAAACCGAAGUGCAGGAAAAGAUGAGUUGAAGAGAUCUACAAGAGUGCAAUGAAAGUUGCCAUACUGCACCCCAGCGUUUCCAUUCCAUAUUAGUUCCCAGUUUAUGGAUCUGAUUCCUUCUAUGAAAUGGUCUCGUGAUUGCAGUUGGUAUCCUCAAGAUUUGUGCCUUAUGGUCCGACAAGAAGGGCUCAUAGGUUUCCUGCACACACUCGCUCUCUGUUACAUUCGUGAACAUAUUAUCUAUACAAGUACUCGAAUG